RNAcentral lists this ribosomal RNA (272 nucleotides) under uncultured soil bacterium. RNAcentral's name for it is "partial 16S ribosomal RNA". It matches the Rfam family "Bacterial small subunit ribosomal RNA", at positions 26 to 285 of the family's 1533-position model. The record is from RNAcentral.
AGAAUCAACGCUGGCGGCGUGCCUAACACAUGCAAGUCGAACGCGAAAGCCCCGCAAGGGGCCGGUAGAGUGGCAAACGGGUGAGUAACACGUGGGUGAUCUGCCUCAGAGUGGGGGAUAACGACCCGAAAGGGUCGCUAAUACCGCAUAACAUCCUGCCUUUGGAUAGGUGGAGAUCAAAGCCAGGGACCGCAAGGCCUGGCGCUUGGAGAGGAGCCCGCGGCCGAUUAGCUAGUUGGUGAGGUAAUGGCUCACCAAGGCAACGAUCGGUA